This 470-nucleotide ribosomal RNA is filed under the name uncultured bacterium. Its description in RNAcentral is "bacterial SSU rRNA". It matches the Rfam family "Bacterial small subunit ribosomal RNA", at positions 28 to 518 of the family's 1533-position model. The record is from RNAcentral.
GACGAACGCUGGCGGCGUGCUUAACACAUGCAAGUCGAGCGGUAAGGCCCUUUCGGGGGUACACGAGCGGCGAACGGGUGAGUAACACGUGGGUGACCUGCCCUCAGCUCUGGGAUAAGCCUGGGAAACCGGGUCUAAUACCGGAUAUGACUCCAUGACGCAUGUUGUGGGGUGGAAAGCCUUGUGCGGCUGAGGAUGGGCCCGCGGCCUAUCAGCUUGUUGGUGGGGUGAUGGCCUACCAAGGCGACGACGGGUAGCCGGCCUGAGAGGGCGACCGGCCACACCGGGACUGAGACACGGCCCAAACUCCUACGGGAGGCAGCAGUGGGGAAUAUUGGACAAUGGGCGAAAGCCUGAUCCAGCCAUGCCGCGUGAGUGAUGAAGGCCUUAGGGUUGUAAAGCUCUUUACCCGGGAAGAUAAUGACGGUACCGGGAGAAUAAGCCCCGGCUAACUUCGUGCCAGCAGCCGC